RNAcentral lists this ribosomal RNA (2904 nucleotides) under Escherichia coli. RNAcentral's name for it is "23S ribosomal RNA". It matches the Rfam family "Bacterial large subunit ribosomal RNA". Lineage: Bacteria; Pseudomonadati; Pseudomonadota; Gammaproteobacteria; Enterobacterales; Enterobacteriaceae. The record is from RNAcentral.
GGUUAAGCGACUAAGCGUACACGGUGGAUGCCCUGGCAGUCAGAGGCGAUGAAGGACGUGCUAAUCUGCGAUAAGCGUCGGUGAGGUGAUAUGAACCGUUAUAACCGGCGAUUUCCGAAUGGGGAAACCCAGUGUGUUUCGACACACUAUCAUUAACUGAAUCCAUAGGUUAAUGAGGCGAACCGGGGGAACUGAAACAUCUAAGUACCCCGAGGAAAAGAAAUCAACCGAGAUUCCCCCAGUAGCGGCGAGCGAACGGGGAGCAGCCCAGAGCCUGAAUCAGUGUGUGUGUUAGUGGAAGCGUCUGGAAAGGCGCGCGAUACAGGGUGACAGCCCCGUACACAAAAAUGCACAUACUGUGAGCUCGAUGAGUAGGGCGGGACACGUGGUAUCCUGUCUGAAUAUGGGGGGACCAUCCUCCAAGGCUAAAUACUCCUGACUGACCGAUAGUGAACCAGUACCGUGAGGGAAAGGCGAAAAGAACCCCGGCGAGGGGAGUGAAAAAGAACCUGAAACCGUGUACGUACAAGCAGUGGGAGCCUCUUAAUGGGGUGACUGCGUACCUUUUGUAUAAUGGGUCAGCGACUUAUAUUCUGUAGCAAGGUUAACCGAAUAGGGGAGCCGAAGGGAAACCGAGUCUUAACUGGGCGUUAAGUUGCAGGGUAUAGACCCGAAACCCGGUGAUCUAGCCAUGGGCAGGUUGAAGGUUGGGUAACACUAACUGGAGGACCGAACCGACUAAUGUUGAAAAAUUAGCGGAUGACUUGUGGCUGGGGGUGAAAGGCCAAUCAAACCGGGAGAUAGCUGGUUCUCCCCGAAAGCUAUUUAGGUAGCGCCUCGUGAAUUCAUCUCCGGGGGUAGAGCACUGUUUCGGCAAGGGGGUCAUCCCGACUUACCAACCCGAUGCAAACUGCGAAUACCGGAGAAUGUUAUCACGGGAGACACACGGCGGGUGCUAACGUCCGUCGUGAAGAGGGAAACAACCCAGACCGCCAGCUAAGGUCCCAAAGUCAUGGUUAAGUGGGAAACGAUGUGGGAAGGCCCAGACAGCCAGGAUGUUGGCUUAGAAGCAGCCAUCAUUUAAAGAAAGCGUAAUAGCUCACUGGUCGAGUCGGCCUGCGCGGAAGAUGUAACGGGGCUAAACCAUGCACCGAAGCUGCGGCAGCGACACUGUGUGUUGUUGGGUAGGGGAGCGUUCUGUAAGCCUGUGAAGGUGUGCUGUGAGGCAUGCUGGAGGUAUCAGAAGUGCGAAUGCUGACAUAAGUAACGAUAAAGCGGGUGAAAAGCCCGCUCGCCGGAAGACCAAGGGUUCCUGUCCAACGUUAAUCGGGGCAGGGUGAGUCGACCCCUAAGGCGAGGCCGAAAGGCGUAGUCGAUGGGAAACAGGUUAAUAUUCCUGUACUUGGUGUUACUGCGAAGGGGGGACGGAGAAGGCUAUGUUGGCCGGGCGACGGUUGUCCCGGUUUAAGCGUGUAGGCUGGUUUUCCAGGCAAAUCCGGAAAACUAAGGCUGAGGCGUGAUGACGAGGCACUACGGUGCUGAAGCAACAAAUGCCCUGCUUCCAGGAAAAGCCUCUAAGCAUCAGGUAACAUCAAAUCGUACCCCAAACCGACACAGGUGGUCAGGUAGAGAAUACCAAGGCGCUUGAGAGAACUCGGGUGAAGGAACUAGGCAAAAUGGUGCCGUAACUUCGGGAGAAGGCACGCUGAUAUGUAGGUGAAGUCCCUCGCGGAUGGAGCUGAAAUCAGUCGAAGAUACCAGCUGGCUGCAACUGUUUAUUAAAAACACAGCACUGUGCAAACACGAAAGUGGACGUAUACGGUGUGACGCCUGCCCGGUGCCGGAAGGUUAAUUGAUGGGGUUAGCGGUAACGCGAAGCUCUUGAUCGAAGCCCCGGUAAACGGCGGCCGUAACUAUAACGGUCCUAAGGUAGCGAAAUUCCUUGUCGGGUAAGUUCCGACCUGCACGAAUGGCGUAAUGAUGGCCAGGCUGUCUCCACCCGAGACUCAGUGAAAUUGAACUCGCUGUGAAGAUGCAGUGUACCCGCGGCAAGACGGAAAGACCCCGUGAACCUUUACUAUAGCUUGACACUGAACAUUGAGCCUUGAUGUGUAGGAUAGGUGGGAGGCUUUGAAGUGUGGACGCCAGUCUGCAUGGAGCCGGCCUUGAAAUACCACCCUUUAAUGUUUGAUGUUCUAACGUUGGCCCCUGAUCGGGGUUGCGGACAGUGUCUGGUGGGUAGUUUGACUGGGGCGGUCUCCUCCUAAAGAGUAACGGAGGAGCACGAAGGUUGGCUAAUCCUGGUCGGACAUCAGGAGGUUAGUGCAAUGGCAUAAGCCAGCUUGACUGCGAGCGUGACGGCGCGAGCAGGUGCGAAAGCAGGUCAUAGUGAUCCGGUGGUUCUGAAUGGAAGGGCCAUCGCUCAACGGAUAAAAGGUACUCCGGGGAUAACAGGCUGAUACCGCCCAAGAGUUCAUAUCGACGGCGGUGUUUGGCACCUCGAUGUCGGCUCAUCACAUCCUGGGGCUGAAGUAGGUCCCAAGGGUAUGGCUGUUCGCCAUUUAAAGUGGUACGCGAGCUGGGUUUAGAACGUCGUGAGACAGUUCGGUCCCUAUCUGCCGUGGGCGCUGGAGAACUGAGGGGGGCUGCUCCUAGUACGAGAGGACCGGAGUGGACGCAUCACUGGUGUUCGGGUUGUCAUGCCAAUGGCACUGCCCGGUAGCUAAAUGCGGAAGAGAUAAGUGCUGAAAGCAUCUAAGCACGAAACUUGCCCCGAGAUGAGUUCUCCCUGACUCCUUGAGGGUCCUGAAGGAACGUUGAAGACGACGACGUUGAUAGGCCGGGUGUGUAAGCGCAGCGAUGCGUUGAGCUAACCGGUACUAAUGAACCGUGAGGCUUAACCUU